Apodemus sylvaticus (European woodmouse) is the source of this 4378-nucleotide long non-coding RNA. RefSeq lists it as uncharacterized. NCBI's taxonomy places the organism in Eukaryota, Metazoa, Chordata, Mammalia, Rodentia, Muridae. The record is from RefSeq and is a predicted model, not a curated record. The transcript has 4 exons.
UUUACUUUUAAUAUUUAAUAUCAUGAAACUGAAUUGGUAUUAUUUUUGUAAAAGUUCUUUACAUUAUUGUUUGAUGUGUGUGAUGAUAACCAUUGACUGCUGUUCCUCCCGACUCCUCUAAUCUCACCGCUCACAAAUGCUUUCUACAUAAAGCUGGUGUCUAUCUACAUAUUCUUUGAACAAUAUGUCAUAUGUUUUGAACAGUUUGAUAUUCACAUAAUAUUUUUUAAUAUUUAAAUUAUAUGAGCAGGGUAGAGUAAUGAAUUACCGAAAGAGUAGCUAUCAGUAUAUAUAUAUAUGGUUGUGAAAAUAUGUGAUUCCUUACAAAGAUGUAUGGCUCAAAUUUAAAGCCACUAAGUGUAAGGGAAAGAAAUGCAUGUGCCUUUUUGUCCGUUGUCAUGGCCCUUAGAAUACUGACAUCACAAUGGUUCUUCAUCCUGACUGCUACAGAAUCCUCGAACUUCAGUAGCUUGACUACCAACCUUAGUCACCAGUUUGCUAUUCAGGACUAGAAAGGCAAAAUUCGAGUUUAUUCAAAGGUUCUCCCUUCCAGGCUCCACCAAAAAGGUAUUUUUUUUUAUAAGUAAUUUGUUUCUCAUGAUAGCUUAAUCAUAUCAGGAAGUGUUCUCUCUUUAUUCCUCUAGAUCAUAUGAACUAACUCUCAACUCAGUAGUGGUUUCUUGAAAAGGUAGACAUUCAAGCCAUAUUCGGUACCAAUCUUCUGUAGAAACAACAUUAUUAUAUGAAGGGAGGUAUGCUUUAAGCAUACAGGAGAACAAUUUCUGUAAAUCUUACCAAAAAAAAGUGUCCAGGUUAUGCUUGAGCAUUGUUUUAUAUGCAACCCAAUUGUUUUAACCACCAUGACUACAAAUAUUUUUAAAAAGAAUUGGUCAUUCUUUUUUGUAGACCCUAAACCUAAGAACUCCCUGGUUUCCUUCAAAUUGUUAUAGUUACAACACAUAUUGUGUUCUUUGGAAUAUAUUUCUGAAUAUUUGAACAUUAAUUCUAAUUAGACAGGAACUACUUUCCAGACAUGUUAAUUUCCUUUCAGUUUGUCCAUCACAAAAUUUAGUUGCUAUUAUUUUGUAACAUAUCUUCACAUUAGUGUUUGAAGUAUGCGAUGACAACCAUUCGCUGCUGUUCCUCCUGACUUUGAAUCUCAUGGGUCUCAUAGGCUUUCCACAUAAAUGCUGGUGUCUCUCUACAUAUUCUUUGAAAGACGUCAUAUGUUUUGGCGAGAAUUAUAGUCACUAAAUAUAUAAUUUUAAUAUUUGUAUUGUAUGAGCAGGGUAGAGAAAAGAAACCACCAAAAAGUAGCCACUUCAUUAUUAUAGGGAAGAAGGUUAUUAUGGAUUAGAUAAAAAUGUUCAGAGGCAUCUAAAAAUGUUUACAGCCGAUUGAAGCUUGAUUUUACGACUGAUGUCUAAGAGAGAACAGACAAUAUCAAGGUAGAAUAUUGGACAUACCUGGGGGAGUGAGAGAAACACUGCCUUCAUAAAGCAAAGGGUGCUUCUAUAACAUUUUGGGAGUUAUCUUAGUGCAUAAGCUGAUGGAGAUCUUUGGGAAGGAAUGGAAAUCUAAGGAAAAUGAAUAACGAUUACUUUUACUUCCUGUUCACGUUAAAUAAGGGCAAGUGUGGCUAUUGGCUCCAGAAGCUUGCUACAGCGGGGGCGCUGAGACGCUGCGUGAGCCCAGCGACAGGUCCAAGCAUGUGGACAGAGGUAGCUGCUGGCCGCCUCUGCCCAGCCAGCAAGGUCCGGGUACACUUGCUGCCCAGCGCGCCUGGCUCCUAGGCCACGGUGGAGAUGUCGUCCCACUUGUUGUCCCAGUCAUCUUCGCUGCCUUGUCUGGCCUGGUGACCUCCAAGGAGCUGCUGGGGCGACUUAGGUGGUACUGUCAGUAUAGGACUAGGCUGAGGGGGCAGGUCAUCACUUAUUAAUGUUCCAGAUCAAAAGAUGAGGAGGACACAAAGCAUUCUGAUCUCCAAUGCUCUCUAGAAUACAAAUUAAUUUAUGAAAAGUACAUGAGGCUCCAGACAUGGCUCAGUACUAAAAAAAAAAAAAAUCCACAUUCAAUCUGGAUCCUAUUUGAUCUAAGCACCUAUAUGUUUGCACAUAAGUUCUGUACUCAAUUUCUAAUUUCCUCCGGUAAUCUUGGCUCUAGUAAUGAAUUCAUAUACCUACAUAUAGACCAAAAAUUCACAUGCACAAAGUCUUCUGAAAAAAAUAGAAAUCCAUGAACAUAGAACUCUGUAACUGUGUACCUGCUCAUGAGCCUGCCUGGGUUUCCUCAGUCUUGAUGCAAGUACUGAAGGGGAGGUGGGGUGGGGGAUCAGGCAAAGAAACCAUGGGGAAGUAGAGAGUGUGGAGUUCUAGUGGAAGCUUAAAGUCCCUGGAAACCCCACGACAGCAAGAGAAGGAGAACAUGGAAUAUUUUAGCCAGGUGUAUAUGGACUUCCUACUCAGCCAUUAGCUCUCCUUAAUUUGAACCAGAGAAAGAAUAAUAGUAUUUAUGUUGUAGACUCUGAAUGUGUUUUCUGGAGAGACCUUGUGGCUACAAGUUGAGGACCUGUUGGAGAUAAUAAAAGAUAGAAAAUCUUGCCGAUUUUCCUAUUGUUUAGUGUCCUGAGCAUAGGCCCCUCAGGAAUUGCUCUAGGGGUUUAGUGUGACUGGGAUAAACUACGUAUAUAUGUUUUGGGCUCAGUUAAAUGCAAAAUUUAAACAGUGUCUGAAGGAACUUGGGAUGCGGAAAUUCAGCAAUGAAGAAGGAACAAAUGUUCUGAACUUCAUGAUCGUUUAGGUAGAAAGUUGCUAAUAUCUUUCCUUUCAUUUUCACUAAGGUUCAAGGUAAUCAGAUAAGUCACCCAGAAGACAAAAAGUAUGCUAUUCUGCCUUACAUCUCAAGUCCUGCUUCUUGGGAUAGAGACAGAAAUAUACCCAGGCAUCUAGCCAGUUUGGAUUACAUAGUUAGACCUGAUCACAAGUAAAGCCAAUUCUAGAGAGGAGAGAAGGGAUGUGCUGAUAUGUUUGUGAUUCUCCAUCCACAAGCAAGGAACCUCUCAGGUGAUUUCAUUAACACAUUUAAAGAACAGUUUAUCCUCCUUGCUGCUGGCAUUUUCCUGUUAGCAUAAUAAGAACAUUUGUAGUCUGUGAGGUGUCAGGUACAAUGACAUUCCUGAAUGACAAUCAUGCAGUUUGUGAGGUAGGAUAUCCAUAUAAGGCAAGCUAGCCACAUGAUUUUCUUGCCUCAACCUCACUGAGCUUUGAAUGACAGUGAUGUUGAUGUUCUAUUUAGACCAGAGUUAAUGAUAUAGCAUGCUCAAGUUCUGAAGAUCCAAACCCCACAAAUCACCAAUAUAGCUGCCAGAAGCUAAAAGAUACUAAAUAGUUACACAAAGGCACAGGUGACAAUAAAGAAAUAUUCAUUGCUCACAACCUGUAUUGUCGUGAUCUCUUAGGCAACUUGCCUUUAAAUGGUCAAGAGAGAUUCCGAGGGAGCAGCCAGAUGGAGUUCUCCACAGACUGACUGGAGCCAACUGAGGAGACAGAGAUUCUAAGCUGAAUGAGAGGCAGUUAGUCCUUUGUCCUCCAUGGAAAAGUUUCUGGGAACCUGAUGUCAAAUGUCACCUGUGCAUACUUCCCUGAGAAGUGGAAUCUGGCUGCGGUGCAACACCAAGAGAAGCAGCAUCUGUAGGUAUCUGGAUCCUCCCUUGUCAGCAGCUCUAAGCUUGACUUGCAAUGGCUGCCUGCCUCAGUUUGCCUACCAUAUAGAUGCCCAAGCUGGUCUGUGGCAACAGAGGACAAUGAAACAACAUCAACAUAGAACUUUCCACAAUGGAAACUUCUUAAUGACUGAAGAAGGUGCCGGUCAUGCUAUUUCAACGUUCUGUUCUAGUUCCCUCUUAACCAUAGCAGAAGAGAUUCUUACAAGAAAGAAUUUCAGUUUUUUAUUUAGCUUCAUUGUUACAAAUAGUUUCAUUCACUGUAAUUAUUUUAUGUUAUGUAUUACAUAUUCUUAUCUAUUUUAAUGAAUGGUAUUAAAUUAUGUUAUUGCUUGGACUCCAGUGUGCCUGACUCUUGAUUCUACACAGUAUUUGGAAGAUUGCAUUUACAGUACUCUCUUCCACUUCUGUUAAUCAGGCACCUGAUUUCAUGUGACAGAUCCUCUAGAAUCAAUAAAUUUUUUCUUCCAAACUACAAAAGAAUGUCACUCUAAGUACUGCUCAAAAAAAUAAAAGUUAUUUGACCAAAUUCUUCCAAAUUCUCAACAUAAAACUCUCCCCAUAUUCUGAACCAACAACUAAGGGAUACACAUGGUUCCAGCCAAAAUAUGUCAGAGGAGUUCCUUGUCGUGAAUUAGUGGGAAGAGAGACCCUCGA